RNAcentral lists this ribosomal RNA (207 nucleotides) under uncultured bacterium. RNAcentral describes it as "partial 16S ribosomal RNA". It matches the Rfam family "Bacterial small subunit ribosomal RNA", at positions 568 to 774 of the family's 1533-position model. The record is from RNAcentral.
CACGUAGGCGGACUUUUAAGUCAGAUGUGAAAUCCCGGGGCUCAACCUCGGAACUGCAUUUGAAACUGGAAGUCUGGAGUUCAGGAGAGGUUAGCGGAAUACCGAGUGUAGAGGUGAAAUUCGUAGAUAUUCGGUGGAACACCAGUGGCGAAGGCGGCUAACUGGACUGAUACUGACGCUGAGGUGCGAAAGUGUGGGGAGCAAACA